GCGUGCAUACAGGCACUUUCUGCAAAACAGUCAACAAUGAAAAAACGAAAAAUGAACUGCCAAUGAUACACCCAAAGGGACGAUCCAGCAAACAACUAUAUUAUCACGUCUAUUCUGUAGUUCACUGCCUUCGGAAUCGGAUUAUCGGUUUCUGAUAUUAUUUCUCGGAGUUGAUCUUUAUUGUGUGUUCAAGAGUAGUGUGAGUCCUUUCAAGAUUAUUGGGUAGAAAAUUGAGAAUAAGGCCAUCUUGCAGAAAGCUGGUGGCACGAUGCAGCUUUCGAAAUGUGACAACACCGAGGACAGUUUUGUUAUGGUAAUUGGAGACGGGCACGGACGCAAUCAAAAGCGCGGAGCUCCGGGAAUUUUUAAAAGAAUAUCCAAAGAGAAAUUAGAGUUGAGUUGUUUAGAAAAUUACAUUGGCGUGCAAUUUCCUGUGAAUUUCAUACGUCGCUUAAAUCAAAUGAAUCCACAAUUUUGCGUAUGUUGUAUGUAGAUAAUAAAUUUGGUUCAUAUCAGAA
Long non-coding RNA from Dendroctonus ponderosae (mountain pine beetle), 518 nucleotides. RefSeq lists it as uncharacterized. The transcript is spliced from 4 exons. The record is from RefSeq and is a predicted model, not a curated record. Lineage: Eukaryota; Metazoa; Arthropoda; Insecta; Coleoptera; Curculionidae.